CCUACGGGAGGCAGCAGUAAGGAAUAUUGCUCAAUGGCCGAAAGGCUGAAGCAGCAACGCCGCGUGGAGGAUGAAAUACUUUUGUAUGUAAACUCCUGUAAGAAGGGAAAAAUGUCCUGAUUUAUCAGGAUUGAUUGUACCUUCAGAGUAAGCCCCGGCUAACUACGUGCCAGCAGCCGCGGUAAU
This 186-nucleotide ribosomal RNA is filed under the name uncultured bacterium. RNAcentral's name for it is "partial 16S ribosomal RNA". It matches the Rfam family "Bacterial small subunit ribosomal RNA", at positions 338 to 524 of the family's 1533-position model. The record is from RNAcentral.